GAAUACUGGAAAAGAGUUUCCACAGGAUUUACAGAUGAACUCGAGUCGAGCCAAUCUAGCAUAUAACUGACGAUGGGGUUUGACGAGUUCUCUAUGACCUCCGUCAAGUCGGGACUCACGAUAGAGGGAUUGUAUCACACGAUAACUGCAUCUAAGGGUUUAUUUUUUUGUUCUGUUGGAUUGCCACUACAUGUUGCUAGACGUCACUG
Molecule: long non-coding RNA, 209 nt
Filed under: Elaeis guineensis (African oil palm)
Lineage: Eukaryota; Viridiplantae; Streptophyta; Magnoliopsida; Arecales; Arecaceae
Description: long non-coding RNA (EGUI_LNC034713)
Source: RNAcentral